Acinonyx jubatus (cheetah) is the source of this 855-nucleotide long non-coding RNA. RefSeq lists it as uncharacterized. The transcript is spliced from 4 exons. NCBI's taxonomy places the organism in Eukaryota, Metazoa, Chordata, Mammalia, Carnivora, Felidae. The record is from RefSeq and is a predicted model, not a curated record.
GCGGAGCGCUCCUCUGACUUUGAGCAGGUUGCAGGUUUCCCCUCAGAGUCUUGAGAGUAGUCUCCUUUACUUUUGUGAAACAAGAAUUGUCGAUUGACGCUCACAGAGCGGGCUUUGGAGACACCUAGAGGGACCUUUCAGCCAGUAAUGCCAUGAUUCUGCCAGGCACAUGGGGGUUGGCGCCAACGAGGCCGUUGAGACCGCUGGCCGUGUUAGGCCCCCCCCAUACAACAGCCUAGUUCUGGUCGCUGAAGAGGAAGGUCUUGGAGGCCGUGCUCAAAACUGAGCCCGCAGGAGAGGAGGUUGGCGGUCGUCGGAGCUUGCCAGCAUCGUGGCCCUCAGAACUCCUGUUUACCGCAGAUACUCGGGACCCUGGCUGCCGGGCCUUGGAGAUCUGCAUCCUGCAGACUUAGUCAUGCACCAGGACUCUUGAUGGAGUAAGAAUGUUAGCAAAGGACUUCUGCUCCUGUCUCUUUGGUAGUGAAGGACCUGAUACCGGGCACAGUGGAAUGCUAGCUCACUCGUCUCUUCCCUUGUCAGGAAAGUUGGUGGAAGAAGAGACACUUGGAGAAUCAAGACUCUCCCAUGAGUAGGUUGGGUGCUGAGAAGAACAGUUGUCAGAAAAGGAAACACAAAGAAUGGGAAUGGCUUUUCAUCCUGGUUGCGGGAAGAAUAAACACAUUUCAUAGAGCCAAGCUGCAAGGGGAUUGUUCCGAGACUGGAAAUCUAUUCAGGACACGGAUUAAACUCUGUCACUGCUGUUGAUUACAUCUGAUGAACAUGGAUUUUCUUGAAUCCCUGAAGCAGAGACAAGUCUUUGCCUACUUAAAGGUAACCUAAAAUAUAAAAGGGUUU